RNAcentral lists this long non-coding RNA (474 nucleotides) under Pan troglodytes (chimpanzee). Its description in RNAcentral is "long non-coding RNA NONPTRT005903". The record is from RNAcentral. Lineage: Eukaryota; Metazoa; Chordata; Mammalia; Primates; Hominidae.
GGGCAGGGCCAGGAUAGGGCGAUCCUGGAAGCUGGGCUUCAGAAGCGUCCAGGCAGGAAUCGGAGUGCUGUAGCACAAUCACAGCUCACUGCAGCCUCAAACUCCUGGGUUCCAGCGAUCCUCCCGCCUCAGCCUCCCCAGUAGCUGCGACUACAGGCAUGUGACACUACACCCAGCCCAGUAAAGGCACCAUUCCCCAUUUUACAGCUGGAGAAACUGAGUUACAGAGCUUGUUUGCAUUGAGUCAACAGGAGCAAAUGCUAGAUCAGAUGGAGCAACUCAGGCACAGGGAGCAAGUCAUUGGCCAUGGUCGCCCAGCUGAGGAAGGAUGGAGCCGGCUGAGAUCCUGUUCUGGGGAUCUAACUCUGCAGCCUGCAUUCUGGGCUGCUGUAUUCUGCCAUGUGCUAUCUGACGAGCACAGCAUGGGCUCAGAGUACAGAGAGGAGGAACCAGGUAAUAAGGAUAGGUCUGGGG